RNAcentral lists this long non-coding RNA (792 nucleotides) under Brassica napus (rape). Its description in RNAcentral is "long non-coding RNA (BNAP_LNC020893)". The record is from RNAcentral. Lineage: Eukaryota; Viridiplantae; Streptophyta; Magnoliopsida; Brassicales; Brassicaceae.
CACCACCAUUGAUGGGUCAUCAACAGGGGCCGUUGCCGCCACAAAUGACUCCUAACAACAAUUAUCUCCGACCACGAAUGAUGAUGACUUCUUCUUCACCGCCUUUGCUUGAUAACCCAAGUCUAUCUUCUUGGCUUGAAAGCAAUGAUCUCCCUCCUGAGUCUUGGAGCCUUAGUCAACUUCUAUUGUAACUCUUCAUCUCUCUCUCUCUCCCUCCCUCCAUAUAUGUAUACAUAUGAUGAAACGAAAAUAGUCUCUAAGCACAUGAUUUUGAGUUCUCCUGGUUAACUUCAUGGCUUCGUUUUAUCAUGUGUUGUAACCGAAUCUUGAUUUCUUCUUUAACAGUGAUAUAUAUAUAUAUAUAUAUAUAUAUAUAUACACGUUAUAUAUAUAUACACGUUAAGAUUAUAGUUAAAAAAAUUUCAGAAAACUCAAACUUUGCCUUUUUUGUAGUUCUAGUAUUUUCAGUAUCAAAUACUCAAAUCUAAUAACGAAUAUUUUAUUUGUGAAUUUGAGGGGUGGAUUGAUGAUGGGAGAGGAAGAGAGGUUGGAGAUAAUGAACCAUCAUAGUCAUCAUGAUGAACAACACCACCAUAGUUUUCAAGGGAAGAUGAGAUUAGAAAAUUGGGAAGAACAAGUCUUACGCCACCAACAAGCUUCCAUGGGAGUUGUUGACAUUAAUCUUUGCUUGAUAACCCAAGUCUAUCUUCUUGGCUUGAAAGCAAUGAUCUCCCUCCUGAGUCUUGGAGCCUUAGUCAACUUCUCUUGUAACUCUUCAUCUCUCUCUCUCCC